RNAcentral lists this ribosomal RNA (253 nucleotides) under uncultured bacterium. RNAcentral describes it as "partial 16S ribosomal RNA". It matches the Rfam family "Bacterial small subunit ribosomal RNA", at positions 524 to 776 of the family's 1533-position model. The record is from RNAcentral.
UACGAAGGGGGCUAGCGUUGUUCGGAGUUACUGGGCGUAAAGCGCGUGUAGGCGGGCCGUUAAGUCGGGGGUGAAAGCCCAGAGCUCAACUCUGGAAUUGCCUUCGAUACUGGCGGCCUGGAGCAUGAUAGAGGCGAGUGGAAUUGCGAGUGUAGAGGUGAAAUUCGUAGAUAUUCGCGGGAACACCAGUGGCGAAGGCGGCUCGCUGGAUCAUUGCUGACGCUGAGACGCGAAAGCGUGGGGAGCAAACAGG